This 470-nucleotide ribosomal RNA is filed under the name uncultured bacterium. RNAcentral's name for it is "SSU rRNA". It matches the Rfam family "Bacterial small subunit ribosomal RNA", at positions 26 to 518 of the family's 1533-position model. The record is from RNAcentral.
AGGACGAACGCUGGCGGCGUGCUUAACACAUGCAAGUCGAGCGGUAAGGCCCUUCGGGGUACACGAGCGGCGAACGGGUGAGUAACACGUGGGUAACCUGCCCUGUACUGUGGGAUAAGCCUGGGAAACUGGGUCUAAUACCGCAUAUGACUGCAUUCCGCAUGGGGUGUGGUGGAAAGUUCUGGCGGUACAGGAUGGGCCCGCGGCCUAUCAGCUUGUUGGUGGGGUGAUGGCCUACCAAGGCGACGACGGGUAGCCGGCCUGAGAGGGCGACCGGCCACACUGGGACUGAGACACGGCCCAGACUCCUACGGGAGGCAGCAGUGGGGAAUCUUGCGCAAUGGGCGAAAGCCUGACGCAGCAACGCCGCGUGCGGGAUGAAGGCCCUCGGGUUGUAAACCGCUUUCAGUAGGAACGAAUCUGACGGUACCUACAGAAGAAGGUCCGGCCAACUACGCGCCAGCAGCCGC